CCUACGGGGGGCUGCAGUAGGGAAUCUUCGGCAAUGGACGAAAGGCUGACCGAGCAACGCCGCGUGAAGGAAGAAGGUUUUCGGAUUGUAAAACUCUGUUUUGAGAGAAGAACAAGGAGGAUAGUAACUGUUUUUCCUUUGACGUUAUCUUACCAGAAAGCCACGGCUAACUACGUGCCAGCAGCCACGGUAAGACUUCGGGGGCAAUCCGUGUCCGGAGUUAUUGGGCGUAAAGCGAGCGCAGGCGGCUUGUUAAGUCGGAUGUGAAAGACCGCGGCUCAACCGGGGAGGGUCCUUUGAAACUGAGAGGCUUGAGUGCAGAAGAGGAGGGUGGAAUUCCAUGUGUAGCGGUGAAAUGCGUAGAUAUCUGCCGGAACACCAGUGGCGAAGGCGGCUCUCUGAUCUGUAACUGACGCUGAGGCUCGAAAGCGUGGGGAGCAAACAGGAUUAGAUACCCGGGUAGUC
RNAcentral lists this ribosomal RNA (465 nucleotides) under uncultured Melissococcus sp. RNAcentral's name for it is "bacterial SSU rRNA". It matches the Rfam family "Bacterial small subunit ribosomal RNA", at positions 338 to 795 of the family's 1533-position model. Lineage: Bacteria; Bacillati; Bacillota; Bacilli; Lactobacillales; Enterococcaceae. The record is from RNAcentral.